RNAcentral lists this ribosomal RNA (544 nucleotides) under Tenodera superstitiosa. RNAcentral describes it as "partial 16S ribosomal RNA". It matches the Rfam family "Bacterial large subunit ribosomal RNA", at positions 1804 to 2617 of the family's 2925-position model. Lineage: Eukaryota; Metazoa; Arthropoda; Insecta; Mantodea; Mantidae. The record is from RNAcentral.
UUAUCAAAAACAUGGUUUCUUGUAAUUAUUUAGGAGAUCUGACCUGCCCACUGAAAAUAUUUUAAAGGGCCGCAGUAUUUUGACUGUGCAAAGGUAGCAUAAUCAUUAGUCUUUUAAUUGAAGGCUGGUAUGAAUGGUUGGAUGAGGUAAAUUCUGUUUUAUGUUAAUUGGUGUUGAAUUUAGAUUUUAAGUAAAAAUACUUAAAUGUUAUUAAGGGACGAGAAGACCCUAUAGAGUUUAAUAAGUUUAAUAAUUAAUUGAGUUAAAGCUUAAUUUUUGGUUUUUAUGUAAUUUAUUUAAUUGGGGUGAUUGGAAGAUAAAAUAAACUCUUCUUUAUAUUUAAUAAGUUAAUUAGUUGUAUGAUCCAUAUUUAAUGAUUAAAAGAUUAAAUUACCUUAGGGAUAACAGCAUAAUUCUUUUUAAGAGUUCAUAUCGAAAAAAGAGAUUGUGACCUCGAUGUUGGAUUAAGAUUAGUUAUGGGUGCAGAUGUUCAAUAACUAGGUCUGUUCGACCUUGAAAAUCUUACAUGAUCUGAGUUCAAACC